This 440-nucleotide ribosomal RNA is filed under the name uncultured bacterium. Its description in RNAcentral is "partial 16S ribosomal RNA". It matches the Rfam family "Bacterial small subunit ribosomal RNA", at positions 338 to 795 of the family's 1533-position model. The record is from RNAcentral.
CCUACGGGAGGCAGCAGUAGGGAAUAUUGCUCAAUGGCGGAAACCCUGAAGCAGCAACGCCGCGUGGAGGAUGAAGGUUUUCGGAUUGUAAACUCCUUUUGUUAGAGAAGAUAAUGACGGUAUCUAACGAAUAAGCACCGGCAAACUCCGAGCCAGCAGCCGCGGUAAUACGGAGGGUGCCAGCGUUACUCGGAAUCACUGGGCGUAAAGAGCGCGUAGGCGGGAUAGCAAGUCAGAUGUGAAAUCCUAUGGCUUAACCAUAGAACUGCAUUUGAAACUGUUAUUCUAGAGUAUGGGAGAGGUAGGUGGAAUGCUUGGUGUAGGGGUAAAAUCCGUAGAGAUCAAGAGGAAUACUGAUUGCGAAGGCGACCUGCUAGAACAUAACUGACGCUGAUGCGCGAAAGCGUGGGGAGCGAACAGGAUUAGAUACCCCUGUAGUC